AGCUGGUCUGAAUGCAGUGGUCUUUACAACUAAUUGAUCACAACCAGUAACAAAUUGCUUUGUUCCUUCUCCACUCUCACAGCUUCACUUGACUAGCCUUAU
Molecule: unclassified non-coding RNA, 102 nt
Organism: Cercocebus atys (sooty mangabey)
Lineage: Eukaryota; Metazoa; Chordata; Mammalia; Primates; Cercopithecidae
Rfam family: Y RNA
About the family: Y RNAs are components of the Ro ribonucleoprotein particle (Ro RNP), in association with Ro60 and La proteins.
Source: Ensembl